This 30-nucleotide transfer RNA is filed under the name Laportea mooreana. Its description in RNAcentral is "partial tRNA-Phe". The record is from RNAcentral. Lineage: Eukaryota; Viridiplantae; Streptophyta; Magnoliopsida; Rosales; Urticaceae.
CUGAAAAUCCUCAAUCGGGAUAUUGUUUCA